GCCGUGGCCUGGGUGGUUAAAGCGUCCGUUUCACAUGCGAGAGGUCGUGGGUUCUAACCCCGUCUGAGUCA
This is a non-coding RNA of Potamilus streckersoni, 71 nucleotides long. NCBI's taxonomy places the organism in Eukaryota, Metazoa, Mollusca, Bivalvia, Unionida, Unionidae. The record is from the annotation of a GenBank genome assembly.